This 462-nucleotide ribosomal RNA is filed under the name uncultured bacterium. RNAcentral describes it as "partial 16S ribosomal RNA". It matches the Rfam family "Bacterial small subunit ribosomal RNA", at positions 28 to 506 of the family's 1533-position model. The record is from RNAcentral.
GACGAACGCUGGCGGCGUGCUUAACACAUGCAAGUCGAACGGUGAACCUCUUCGGAGGGGAUCAGUGGCGAACGGGUGAGUAACACGUGGGCAACCUGCCCCCGGCUCUGGGAUAACUCCAAGAAAUUGGGGCUAAUACCGGAUGUUCACCGCUUCCCGCAUGGGUGGUGGUGGAAAGGGUUUCCGGCUGGGGAUGGGCCCGCGGCCUAUCAGCUUGUUGGUGGGGUAGUGGCCUACCAAGGCGACGACGGGUAGCCGGCCUGAGAGGGUGACCGGCCACACUGGGACUGAGACACGGCCCAUACUCCUACGGGAGGCAGCAGUGAGGAAUAUUGCGCAAUGGGCGGAAGCCUGACGCAGCGACGCCGCGUGGGGGAUGACGGCCUUCGGGUUGUAAGCCUCUUUCAGCAGGGACGAAGCGCAAGUGACGGUACCUGCAGAAGAAGCACCGGCCAACUACGU